UACGAAGGGGGCUAGCGUUGCUCGGAAUCACUGGGCGUAAAGGGCUCGUAGGCGGCCAACUAAGUCAGACGUGAAAUCCCUCGGCUUAACCGGGGAACUGCGUCUGAUACUGGAUGGCUAGAGAUUGGGAGAGGGAUGCGGAAUUCCAGGUGUAGCGGUGAAAUGCGUAGAUAUCUGGAGGAACACCGGUGGCGAAGGCGGCAUCCUGGACCAACACUGACGCUGAGGAGCGAAAGCCAGGGGAGCAAACGGG
Molecule: ribosomal RNA, 253 nt
Filed under: uncultured bacterium
Lineage: Bacteria
Description: partial 16S ribosomal RNA
Rfam family: Bacterial small subunit ribosomal RNA
Source: RNAcentral